Transfer RNA from Colletotrichum chlorophyti, 88 nucleotides. It matches the Rfam family "tRNA". From Rfam's summary of the family: Transfer RNA (tRNA) molecules are approximately 80 nucleotides in length. Their secondary structure includes four short double-helical elements and three loops (D, anti-codon, and T loops). Further hydrogen bonds mediate the characteristic L-shaped molecular structure. tRNAs have two regions of fundamental functional importance: the anti-codon, which is responsible for specific mRNA codon recognition, and the 3' end, to which the tRNAs corresponding amino acid is attached (by aminoacyl-tRNA synthetases). tRNAs cope with the degeneracy of the genetic code in two manners: having more than one tRNA (with a specific anti-codon) for a particular amino acid; and 'wobble' base-pairing, i.e. permitting non-standard base-pairing at the 3rd anti-codon position. Lineage: Eukaryota; Fungi; Ascomycota; Sordariomycetes; Glomerellales; Glomerellaceae. The record is from Rfam.
GCGGACAUAGCUCAGUUGGGAGAGCGUCAGACUGAAGUUAACUUCAAUCACUUAAUCUGAAGGUCNUGUUCAAUCCACACUGGCCGCA